This 68-nucleotide transfer RNA is filed under the name Pyrops candelaria (lantern bug). RNAcentral describes it as "tRNA-Cys". Lineage: Eukaryota; Metazoa; Arthropoda; Insecta; Hemiptera; Fulgoridae. The record is from RNAcentral.
UGCCUUAUAUUCAAUACUUAAAUAUGAUUUUAUAUUGCAAGUAUAAAGGUGCAGAUUUGCUAAGGCUU